AUACGUAUGGGGCUAGCGUUGUUCGGAUUCACUGGGCGUAAAGGGCGUGUAGGCGGCUAUGCAAGUCGGAUGUGAAAUUUUCAGGCUUAACCUGAAAACUGCAUUCGAAACUGCGUAGCUAGAGUACCGGAGAGGGAGACGGAAUUCCUGGUGUAGGGGUGAAAUCUGUAGAUAUCAGGAAGAACACCAGUGGCGAAGGCGGCUAACUGGGGCAAUACUGACGCUGAGGCACGAAAGCGUGGGGAGCAAACAGGAUUAGAAACCCUAGUAGUCC
This 274-nucleotide ribosomal RNA is filed under the name uncultured bacterium. RNAcentral describes it as "partial 16S ribosomal RNA". It matches the Rfam family "Bacterial small subunit ribosomal RNA", at positions 523 to 796 of the family's 1533-position model. The record is from RNAcentral.